GAUGAAGAACGUAGCGAAAUGCGAUAAGUAGUGUGAAUUGCAGAAUUCAGUGAAUCAUCGAAUCUUUGAACGCACAUUGCGCCCCCUGGUAUUCCGGGGGGCAUGCCUGUCCGAGCGUCAUUACAACCCUCAAGCUCAGCUUGGUAUUGGGCCCCGCCGCUCCGGCGGGCCCUAAAGUCAGUGGCGGUGCCGUCCGGCUCCGAGCGUAGUAAUUCUUCUCGCUCUGGAGGUCCGGUCGUGUGCUCGCCAGCAACCCCCAAUUUUUUUCAGGUUGACCUCGGAUCAGGUAGGGAUACCCGCUGAACUUAAGCAUAUCAAUAAGCGGAGGA
This 329-nucleotide unclassified non-coding RNA is filed under the name soil metagenome. RNAcentral describes it as "partial contains 5.8S ribosomal RNA, internal transcribed spacer 2, and large subunit ribosomal RNA". The stretch from base 1 to 120 matches the Rfam family "5.8S ribosomal RNA", at positions 35 to 154 of the family's 154-position model. The record is from RNAcentral.